This 74-nucleotide transfer RNA is filed under the name Sphingomonas sp. Its description in RNAcentral is "tRNA-Thr". It matches the Rfam family "tRNA". Rfam says of the family: Transfer RNA (tRNA) molecules are approximately 80 nucleotides in length. Their secondary structure includes four short double-helical elements and three loops (D, anti-codon, and T loops). Further hydrogen bonds mediate the characteristic L-shaped molecular structure. tRNAs have two regions of fundamental functional importance: the anti-codon, which is responsible for specific mRNA codon recognition, and the 3' end, to which the tRNAs corresponding amino acid is attached (by aminoacyl-tRNA synthetases). tRNAs cope with the degeneracy of the genetic code in two manners: having more than one tRNA (with a specific anti-codon) for a particular amino acid; and 'wobble' base-pairing, i.e. permitting non-standard base-pairing at the 3rd anti-codon position. Lineage: Bacteria; Pseudomonadati; Pseudomonadota; Alphaproteobacteria; Sphingomonadales; Sphingomonadaceae. The record is from RNAcentral.
GCUGGCAUAGCAAAGCGGUUAUGCAGCGCACUUGUAAUGCGUCGACGGCGGUUCGAAUCCGUCUGCCAGCACCA